CACAGUACCUAGAUCACAACUUUAGAUACUAGAUGAUACUAGAAGAGGCCUUCUUGGUUCAGUCAGGAGAUAUUCUUCUGGCCAUAUCAUUAAAGCAUUAUUUUCUAUGGACCAACGAGCAACUACUCCAAAUAUUGUAAAGGAACAAAACUAUACCAAUUGCCGACACUAUCCACAGGUUUUUACUGAUGCUUUUUGAUUGGAAGAAGAAACCUUAUAUUUAUGUCUAAGAAAAUGAAUGAAAGAAUGGACCCAGCUCAACAAAAAUAAGUCAUUAUUCAUGGAAUAGAUAUGAACAAUUGCUGAUCAGGAUGGAGUUCUUCCAGAACAGUCUAUGGAAAUGUCUAUACAAUCUAUGAGAUUCCCAGGGUUUUGAGAUUAAAAUCAAUGUGCUUGAGAAACAACCACAACAGAAAUACCAGCUGCCUUUUGAAAACAAGGGCAUUGGGGAAUGAAUGGGAUUGCAUGUUUCUUCUGUUCUGUGUUCAAGAGCUUCGAUGGCUACUGUGUUACAUCAGGAAUGGCCAGUGGCUGGACCCCACCCUCCCCCACUCCCUUUUAAUUCAAUGACUACGUGGGGGCUUCUUUGAUGGAGGCUUUGAAGUCGGUGGCUUUGAGAUUACUCUUCCUCUGUGACCUUGACCACCAGCCAUGAGGUGCCCAGGCUAACUAUACCUGUUGAAGUCUGAGGACCAUGCUCAAUCUGUCCUCUGCUCACUGUCCCUAGAAUAGUUGGUCCCAGCCCUGGGAUAGUGGGGCUGGUGACCCUGGAACAGCACCGGAUAGCUGGUCCUGCCACUCACAGGAAAGCUGGCCCCACCCCUCACCUAAGGCAACUAUUCCCAGAAAUCCAGACAGCAACUCAGAUACCACACAGGCACAUAUCUGGG
Molecule: long non-coding RNA, 890 nt
Filed under: Cricetulus griseus (Chinese hamster)
Lineage: Eukaryota; Metazoa; Chordata; Mammalia; Rodentia; Cricetidae
Description: lncRNA (ENSCGRG00015032228.1)
Source: RNAcentral